AGAUAUGUGGAAGAGAAACAAAGCCAGGAUUACUUUUGCAGAAUAGACAAAUGAAAGAUGAAGACAGUUAUGAAGACUAAGACUGCCUUUUACAUCACUCAAACUGGUUGGUGUCAUAUUUGCGGAACUUCCCAGUACUCAUGAUCCACUUACGCAGAAUAUAGAAAAGACGUUUUGUGAUUUCUUAAAUACAUUUCAAGCGCAUUUUUAAGUGAUUGUCCGUAUGAUAUUUAAGGAGCUAUGUCUGAUUUUCUCAGGUACAUGGGAAUAACUAGGCACGCAGUUUCUUCUGCACGUUAUUAUUUACGAAUGUACAAAAAAUAGUGUGUUUCACUGCAAGCUGAUAAUAAAGGACUCCUUUGGAAGAAAGCUAGA
This is a non-coding RNA of Dermacentor andersoni, 375 nucleotides long. The record is from RefSeq and is a predicted model, not a curated record. NCBI's taxonomy places the organism in Eukaryota, Metazoa, Arthropoda, Arachnida, Ixodida, Ixodidae.